AAGUCGUAACAAGGUUUCCGUAGGUGAACCUGCGGAAGGAUCAUUACCUUUCAAUGCAGAAGAGUUGGGAUGGUUGAGUAUCUCGCCUCUCAAUUCUCGCUGUAUUUUACCCUUGUUUUUCUCAUACUAUUAUUUCCUCGGCAGGCUCGCCUGCCGGGUGAAACAACUUCAAACCUGUUUAAUUUUCAAUCAGCGUCUGAACAAAUUAAUAAUUACAACUUUCAACAACGGAUCUCUUGGUUCUG
Molecule: unclassified non-coding RNA, 245 nt
Filed under: Paraphoma radicina
Lineage: Eukaryota; Fungi; Ascomycota; Dothideomycetes; Pleosporales; Phaeosphaeriaceae
Also listed under: 2 other names
Description: partial contains small subunit ribosomal RNA, internal transcribed spacer 1, and 5.8S ribosomal RNA
Rfam family: Eukaryotic small subunit ribosomal RNA (bases 1-46)
Source: RNAcentral